Molecule: long non-coding RNA, 1560 nt
Organism: Pimephales promelas (fathead minnow)
Lineage: Eukaryota; Metazoa; Chordata; Actinopteri; Cypriniformes; Leuciscidae
Source: RefSeq, a predicted model, not a curated record
GAGACAUAAAAAACGGUUGAGCUCGAUUUUCAACCAAUCAGCGUCGAAAAUGAAAGUAGGUCUCGGCCAAAUCAAGCUAAUAUCUCUACGCACAUGUAAACACGGAGGACAGAUCUUCAUCUGAUAGCGGCGAUCAAGCUCGAUUAACACCCGUAAAGUGUAUUUUUCAUGUCGGAAAACAUGGUGGGAAAGGUCCGUAGCCCUUUACUGAAGUUCGAUGGGAACAAAUCAAGCAAUGUGCGAAGGAAUGGCUCAAAACGUCGGACACUACGGAGCUAGCUACGUUAUUGAUUACAUGCUGCAAAAUCUGGAUAAAAACAUCGACGCGAUGUGAGACGUUGUCCUCCGUUGCUUGACCUGUUAAGAGGAUGACCUCAUCCAACAGUACAAUUGUGACAAUGGAGAUAUCCUGCAGCACAUAAUGAAAAUUGCCAUCUGCAAGAGGGAUUCUCAGGAGUAUUUCUGCAUCAUCUUGGAGGGGUGGAUGCAAGUCAUGGCUGGCUUGGAAAAUCUGACAAGAGCCUGUGCUGUUCUUCUUGGACUCACGUAUGCACUAAACCACAACUACCAGAACUGAGGCACACUUUUGAGGCCUUUCAGAAGCUCUUCUUGGAACUGAGUGUUUGCAAGUUUUCCCCGAAAUCACUAACACUUAAAAAAAAACUCAUGAUGACUUUGAUUGAGACAAUGCAUUAUGACCAAGGCAAGUUCUGAAUUAAAACAGCAUUGAUUGAUGAACGUUUAAUAUUGUUCUACAUACAGGCUUUCAGCAAGUACAAAUUAUUUUAUAUGUUUUACUACAAGUUAUUCACAAGUUAGUCUAGAAUGUGACUUUUUCCAACAGAAAUUUGUAGGCACAUGUUUUUGUGAAACAAAAUGAUCUUUCUCAAUGACAUGAAAAAUGUUAGCAUUUUUUUUUUGCUUUUAUUUUUCAUAUUUUAAAACUCUUACAUUUUAUAUAGAUUUGUUUUAUUUGUGCAAAAAAUACAGAAUAAAAGCAUGUUUGAUAACAAAAGGUGUAUUAUGUAUUCAUUAUUAUAACAUUUACUGUCUGAAAAAAAGGCAGUAAAUGUUAUAAUUAAAUAAAUGUCAUUAAUACAAAUGAGUAAAUUCUGCUUGAUUUAUUUGUGAGGCGACUUAAAUAAAAAAAAAGCACAUUACACUAAUAAUAUUAAAUUCAUUAUGUGCCAUAGACUAAAUAAUUUAGGACAUUUUACUUAAUUUAUUCGGGUAGAUCUCACACACACACAAAAAAAACACCUGAAAAUCUACUCAAAUAUAAUAUGUGUAAUAUUGUUACCAUACUUUUUUUUUUUUAAAGUAGAUACCAUGUAAUAUUUUUUACAGUGUACAUGCAGUGCAGUUACUGUUUGUGUAUGCGAACUGACAAUUCACCAUUAAAUGUGUUAUUUUGAAAAGUGUUUUACUUUUUUUAUAUAUUAUAUUUUGGCUGAAUUUUAUUUGUUAUUCAGAUUUUCCUCAAACAUUACCUUUGAAUUGGAACAACAUAAUGAGAAGUAAUUGGGAUGUUAAUGAUAGAAGUUUUCUUGAUAAUCUUAU